AUGCUCGUGACAGUGAUAUCUGUACUCAUGGUGAUGCUGACAGGUCACCUGAUAUAUGGGCUCCCCAUGGACGGAAAAAAGAGAAAUUCUAGAGCCGCUCCAGAAGAGCUGUGUGAUGCAGGAUUUUUCAAUUCAGGGUCUGGUUGUGUUAAGUGCGACUCCGGUUUCUUCACCAGCCAGAAAAACAGAGAAACCAGUUGCCACCGCUGCUUCCAGAACUGCAGACCUGAUUUAUACAUGAUGGUGGUGGAAGAGUGUACGCUAACAUCAGAUGUGAAGUGUCGCUGUCGGGAGGGUUACACUUGUACCAAGAUCGAUCCUUACAAUGGCUACUGUAGGGAGUGUAAACCUGUCCCCACCCCAAUCCCGUCCUCCACCCAUGCUGACGUCCCUUCAUCCACUACAUCCACCACGUCAUCAACAGAGAGAGCUGAGAUCGGGCUGGGUGAGCGUAGUGUUGGGGUGUGGCUUUCAUGUGGAUUAAUUUCUGUAAUAUUAUCCCUCAUCAUCCUUAUGCUGUUCCUCCGGCUAUGCAGAAAGAAAGAGAAGGAAUGUUUCAAGCGUUUUGUCAGGAAGUGCUCGUUGGGUAAUUUAGAGAUGGACAGUGAGAGUACAUCUCCUACCAGCCAAACAGAUGAGCAGCCCCAUGCCCAGGAGAUGAUGUCACAUGGCAGCACACCCACCAAUCACAACAACGACUGCUCGUUUCAUCAGCCAAUCAGCUCAGAGCAGGCUGUUCCUCCAGCCGGCAAUUUAGGCCCUCUUCACAUCUACGGCCCCCAGACAGUUUUCGUCAGCCUGCUCAAUCAAUUUGGAUGGGAUGGCGGCGAGAAAAAAGCACAUGAACUCCGAGAAGAAUCACUAAACAACAUCAACGUGUCCUGCCCUCAGUCUCCCCCCGUCCAUCUGUCUGAGGAGGAAAGGAGCAGAGAGAACGAUUUUAUCUUCUUCCCAUCUCAGGAGCAAGGGAAAGAGUGCCACAUGUCUAAAGAAGAGGCGCUGUGAGGGCUGAUGGAUUAUUGGUGUCCGUUCUUCCUCCGUGCUGUUCAGCUGCUGUGUGGUUUGUUUUAACUGUUAUUUCGUGAGUACCCAGUAUUAAAACUCUAACCGUGGCAGGGGAUUUUUGUCUAGAGAGCAACAGGCUGCGUUAGGGGAAGACCUGGAUAUGUGACUAACAGUAUGGACUGCAUACAUGUGCGUAUGAGCAUGACAGUUGAUGUCAGCUUUGCAGUAUUAUCCAUAACCUUCUGAUACUGCAGUGGGAUGCUGAUGUUGACUGCAUGAAGAGUCGAUACUAGCUUAUGAUGGUUAAACGGACUCAGGGACAAUGCUUGAAAGUGUUUGAAAGCAAGGAGCAGCUCUAAAACAUUCACACAUGUUGAGAUAUUUAUUUUAUGUAAAGUUUAUUCAAGUCACAAAACAUUUGUAUUUAUUUGUAACUCUUAUUAAUCGCAGUUAAUCAUGCAGGUUAUCAGUGUUCGAUCGUAUCAUAUCCUUGGAUAAUGUUGUCAGUGUUCUUCCUCAUUUCUUUGGUGGCAUGAUGGAUUGUACCUUCAAAAAGCCCUGACAUUUAGAUGGUGGUCUGGAAAUGUCAACAUCAUUUCUUCAUUCAGAAGUGUAUAAGCACAUGCGGCAGCAAUCGUUUGAUCAUGUAUUAUGUUUUAUAUUCACUGUAAUAUACAUUUUUUUUAUGCUUGAUAUUAAUUGUAAAGUGCAAUAAAAUCAAUAAAAGUUUAUUUUUUUUAUAUGUUUCCCUGAGUACUUCACUGCAAGAUAGCAAAUACAAAUCCAACUACAAUUUUCUAUUUUAGCAACCAGGUAGCUGACAAAAAAAAAUACUUCUUAUAAGUGACAUGCUAUAUAUCUUAGAUUUGGAAACACUGUGUUCAUUCUGUGAUCAUAUUAUACAUGCAGCUUCUUCAUAAUAUUUUUUGAGGCAUAUUUUUAGUCAUUAAAAAAAAUAGUGAAAAACUUCAAACUUUACAUUCAUAUACAUUUUAACAUAAAAUCUUGAUUUGAAAAAGUCCAUGGGCUUCUUGUGCAAAAACCACCCAAUUAUAAAUACAAACAAGUGUGCAGAGAAUAAAACCUUCAUUUGUUGAAAAAGAUUAGCUCUGUGUUCAGUGUCUCCUUGUGUGCGGUGGUAACUCAAAUCUCUCUCUAUCUCAGCAUUUCUCACGAAGGACAGUCAUUCUCACAGAACCUUCAUAUGGGCCACCUGAUGAGUGCACAUUUUCUCUUGUGUAAAUGGCAGCAGCAGGUUUGUAUUAGAGUAAAUACUCAAUCCAUAGACGAAUCAGCGGUCUUCUUCCUGCUCUUUUCUCAGACAUCCUCCAGUUUUUCAGUCUUUCCACAAACCUCCUGCACUGGCAUUGGUACCUCCUCUUCCUCUGUGCACUGACUGGAACCAAGGCUGCUCUUGUCGGAGGAGCAGAGACCUGAUGACCCAGUACAAUACACAUUAUUAGACACGUAUUCCUGUUAUGCAGUACAAUUUCAUUCCAUGUCUUAAUAUAUUGGGGGAAAUAUUAAACUCACAAUUUUCAAAUAUGAGAAUCACAUUAAUUAGUUUCCUUAUCAUACUGUUAUAAUUAGGUGAUCAUAGAGGUGAAUCGAAAAUAAUAAUUUCAUAAAAAAAUGUAAGUCUAUUAACUAGGUGCUCUGUACUUCGAACGUGUCUAGCUUUAUUAUUGUUUUGAUCACUUAAAACAGUUUUAAUUGAUGACAUGUAUAGGUUUUCCUGUUAUUGUCACUGCUUUCCAAUCAUUAUUAUAUU
Long non-coding RNA from Carassius auratus (goldfish), 2776 nucleotides. NCBI's taxonomy places the organism in Eukaryota, Metazoa, Chordata, Actinopteri, Cypriniformes, Cyprinidae. The record is from Ensembl.